This 468-nucleotide ribosomal RNA is filed under the name uncultured bacterium. Its description in RNAcentral is "partial 16S ribosomal RNA". It matches the Rfam family "Bacterial small subunit ribosomal RNA", at positions 28 to 507 of the family's 1533-position model. The record is from RNAcentral.
GACGAACGCUGGCGGCGUGCUUAACACAUGCAAGUCGAACGGAAAGGCCCUGCUUUUGUGGGGUGCUCGAGUGGCGAACGGGUGAGUAACACGUGAGUAACCUGCCCUUGACUUUGGGAUAACUUCAGGAAACUGGGGCUAAUACCGGAUAGGAGCUCCUGCUGCAUGGUGGGGGAUGGAAAGUUUCGGCGGUUGGGGAUGGACUCGCGGCUUAUCAGCUUGUUGGUGGGGUAGUGGCUUACCAAGGCUUUGACGGGUAGCCGGCCUGAGAGGGUGACCGGCCACAUUGGGACUGAGAUACGGCCCAGACGCCUACGGGAGGCAGCAGUGGGGAAUAUUGCACAAUGGGCGGAAGCCUGAUGCAGCAACGCCGCGUGCGGGAUGACGGCCUUCGGGGUGUAAACCGCUUUCGCCUGUGACGAAGCGUGAGUGACGGUAAUGGGUAAAGAAGCACCGGCUAACUACGUG